Molecule: ribosomal RNA, 497 nt
Filed under: uncultured bacterium
Lineage: Bacteria
Description: partial 16S ribosomal RNA
Rfam family: Bacterial small subunit ribosomal RNA
Source: RNAcentral
GAUGAACGCUGGCGGCGUGCCUAAUACAUGCAAGUCGAGCGAACAGAUGAGGAGCUUGCUCCUCUGACGUUAGCGGCGGACGGGUGAGUAACACGUGGAUAACCUACCUAUAAGACUGGGAUAACUUCGGGAAACCGGAGCUAAUACCGGAUAAUAUAUUGAACCGCAUGGUUCAAUAGUGAAAGACGGUUUUGCUGUCACUUAUAGAUGGAUCCGCGCCGCAUUAGCUAGUCGGUAAGGUAACGGCUUACCAAGGCAACGAUGCGUAGCCGACCUGAGAGGGUGAUCGGCCACACUGGAACUGAGACACGGUCCAGACUCCUACGGGAGGCAGCAGUAGGGAAUCUUCCGCAAUGGGCGAAAGCUUGACGGAGCAACGCCGCGUGAGUGAUGAAGGUCUUCGGAUCGUAAAACUCUGUUAUUAGGGAAGAACAAAUGUGUAAGUAACUAUGCACGUCUUGACGGUACCUAAUCAGAAAGCCACGGCUAACUACGUG